Molecule: ribosomal RNA, 508 nt
Filed under: uncultured bacterium
Lineage: Bacteria
Description: partial 16S ribosomal RNA
Rfam family: Bacterial small subunit ribosomal RNA
Source: RNAcentral
GACGAACGCUGGCGGCGUGCCUAAUACAUGCAAGUCGAACGCUUCUUUCCUCCCGAGUGUUUGCACUCAAUUGGAAAGAGGAGUGGCGGACGGGUGAGUAACACGUGGGUAACCUACCCAUCAGAGGGGGAUAACACUUGGAAACAGGUGCUAAUACCGCAUAACAGUUUAUGCCGCAUGGCAUAAGAGUGAAAGGCGCUUUCGGGUGUCGUUGAUGGAUGGACCCGCGGUGCAUUAGCUAGUUGGUGAGGUAACGGCUCACCAAGGCCACGAUGCAUAGCCGACCUGAGAGGGUGAUCGGCCACACUGGGACUGAGACACGGCCCAGACUCCUACGGGAGGCAGCAGUAGGGAAUCUUCGGCAAAGGACGAAAGUCUGACCGAGCAACGCCGCGUGAGUGAAGAAGGUUUUCGGAUCGUAAAACUCUGUUGUUAGAGAAGAACAAGGACGUUAGUAACUGAACGUCCCCUGACGGUAUCUAGCCAGAAAGCCACGGCUAACUACGUG